Bolinopsis microptera is the source of this 433-nucleotide long non-coding RNA. RefSeq lists it as uncharacterized. The record is from RefSeq and is a predicted model, not a curated record. The transcript is spliced from 4 exons. Lineage: Eukaryota; Metazoa; Ctenophora; Tentaculata; Lobata; Bolinopsidae.
GUCUUAUGAUCUUCACACAGUCUCAGCUUUUUGGCAUUUACUAAUAUCUGAUGAACGGAUUUCAAAAUGUACAAGGCAUCAUAUCAAAGAUUGCAUAUGCCCGAAAGAAGGACAAAUCCAAUUUGGCUCUCUGGAUGUAUGGAAAGCUCUCAACCUUCCAGAAAAGGACUGUUCAAAGGAACACUUAAAUCCCUCCGACAGACAAAGAUAACCUCUCUAGGCCCUCUGGUGGUGACGUAUAAGUGCUUUCUCAGUACUUUCUCUCGCUUUUGGACAAAUCCAAGUGCUGUAUCUGUACCCGAAUAGAAAUAAAGGAUUUUAAUGACACAGUUUUCUUCCGCUCUGAAAGUGAACGAAUUACAAAACAGUCUAGAGAAUUCCUCGCCCUGCUGCAGAAGAUCAAUCCUGGGUUGUGCUCACCAAAGCAAACCUC